Molecule: small nuclear RNA, 18 nt
Filed under: Arabidopsis thaliana (thale cress)
Lineage: Eukaryota; Viridiplantae; Streptophyta; Magnoliopsida; Brassicales; Brassicaceae
Description: snRNA_14972
Source: RNAcentral
UGGAUGAUUGGUUCAUCU